Molecule: ribosomal RNA, 483 nt
Filed under: uncultured bacterium
Lineage: Bacteria
Description: partial 16S ribosomal RNA
Rfam family: Bacterial small subunit ribosomal RNA
Source: RNAcentral
AUUGAACGCUGGCGGCAUGCUUUACACAUGCAAGUCGAACGGCAGCGCGGGCUUCGGCCUGGCGGCGAGUGGCGAACGGGUGAGUAAUGCAUCGGAACGUGCCCAGUAGUGGGGGAUAGCCCGGCGAAAGCCGGAUUAAUACCGCAUACGACCUGGGGGUGAAAGCGGGGGACCGAAAGGCCUCGCGCUAUUGGAGCGGCCGAUGUCGGAUUAGCUAGUUGGUGGGGUAAAGGCUUACCAAGGCGACGAUCCGUAGCUGGUCUGAGAGGACGACCAGCCAAACUGGGACUGAGACACGGCCAGACUCCUACGGGAGGCAGCAGUGGGGAAUUUUGGACAAUGGGGGCAACCCUGAUCCAGCCAUGCCGCGUGCGGGAAGAAGGCCUUCGGGUUGUAAACCGCUUUUGUUCGGGAAGAAAUCCUCUGGGCUAAUACCCCGGGGGGAUGACGGUACCGGAAGAAUAAGCACCGGCUAACUACGUG